UGCAAGUCGAACGGUAAGGCCCCUUCGGGGGUACACGAGUGGCGAACGGGUGAGUAACACGUGGGUAAUCUGCCCUGCACUUCGGGAUAAGCCUGGGAAACUGGGUCUAAUACCGGAUAUGAGCUCCUGCCGCAUGGUGGGGGUUGGAAAGUUUUUCGGUGCAGGAUGUGCCCGCGGCCUAUCAGCUUGUUGGUGGGGUAAUGGCCUACCAAGGCGACGACGGGUAGCCGGCCUGAGAGGGUGAUCGGCCACACUGGGACUGAGACACGGCCCAGACUCCUACGGGAGGCAGCAGUGGGGAAUAUUGCACAAUGGGCGGAAGCCUGAUGCAGCGACGCCGCGUGGGGGAUGACGGUCUUCGGAUUGUAAACUCCUUUCAGUAGGGACGAAGCGAGAGUGACGGUACCUGCAGAAGAAGCACCGGCCAACUACGUGCCAGCAGCCGCGGUAAUACGUAGGGUGCAAGCGUUGUCCGGAAUUACUGGGCGUAAAGAGCUCGUAGGCGGUUUGUCACGUCGUCUGUGAAAUCCUCCAGCUCAACUGGGGGCGUGCAGGCGAUACGGGCAGACUUGAGUACUACAGGGGAGACUGGAAUUCCUGGUGUAGCGGUGAAAUGCGCAGAUAUCAGGAGGAACACCGGUGGCGAAGGCGGGUCUCUGGGUAGUAACUGACGCUGAGGAGCGAAAGCAUGGGGAGCAAACAGGAUUAGAUACCCUGGUAGUCCAUGCCGUAAACGGUGGGCGCUAGGUGUGGGGUCCUUCCACGGAUUCCGUGCCGUAGCUAACGCAUUAAGCGCCCCGCCUGGGGAGUACGGCCGCAAAGGCUAAAACUCAAAGGAAUUGACGGGGGGCCCGCACAA
RNAcentral lists this ribosomal RNA (859 nucleotides) under Dietzia sp. CPA-96. RNAcentral's name for it is "bacterial SSU rRNA". It matches the Rfam family "Bacterial small subunit ribosomal RNA", at positions 56 to 928 of the family's 1533-position model. The record is from RNAcentral. Lineage: Bacteria; Bacillati; Actinomycetota; Actinomycetes; Mycobacteriales; Dietziaceae.